Long non-coding RNA from Solanum pennellii, 1379 nucleotides. RefSeq lists it as uncharacterized. The record is from RefSeq and is a predicted model, not a curated record. The transcript is spliced from 2 exons. NCBI's taxonomy places the organism in Eukaryota, Viridiplantae, Streptophyta, Magnoliopsida, Solanales, Solanaceae.
UUCUCACACCUUAUUACUAUUUCUGAGGAAAAGAAAAUAUGGGUAAAAGGCAAGUUGAUUGCUUCAAUGGAGGUGAAGUGUGGAGGACACUUAAUUCAUGAUCUUUUGCACACCAAUACUCAUCAAGCAGCCAACAUAAGUCCUACUAUCAACCUUUUCGAGGUUCAUGAGGGUGAAAUAGGAAACGUUGGUACGAUUAUUAACUUGAAAUAUAAUGAAGAUGGACAAGAAAAGACUUGCAAGUAUGAAAUUGAAGCCAUUGAUCGUUACAAGAAAUCAAUAAGCCGGAAAGUGAUUGAUGGAGAUUUGUUAGAGUUCUAUAGUUCCUUUACGAUCAUAUCAUCCUGUGAACAACAAUGGAUAACAUGAACAUUUGAGUAUGAAAAGAGAGUUGAAAACAACCCAGAGCCCCUUAAUUUCUUGGGGUUUAUUCUUAAUAUGACAAAGGAUAUUGAGGGUCACUUUCUGAAAAAAUAGAAAAAAUCUAUUAUGUUAUACAUGUUUAUAUGUCUAUACACAUAAACAUGCGUGUGUGUUGAAUAAAUUGAAAUAUUCAUAAAUAUUUAAUAUUAUAUUUGAAGAAUAUACUAAAUAAAUAAUCAAUAUUGCAUUUGAAGCAGUGACGGAGCUAGAAUUUUAUCUAAGGUGUGUCAAAAUAUUAAGAAAUAAAAUCGUGUAGAAGCCAAGGAGUGACAAUAUGUAAUAUAUAUACAUAAAAAAUAAUUUCUAUUCUAGCUACAUAAUGUAAUUUUCCGACGAAGAGUUGUGGUUCGACCCUCCUUAACUAUAUGUGGCUCCGCCACUAUUUCUUGGCAUAGAAAUAGUGCAUCUGUUGAUGGAAUAUUUAUUUCUCAAAAGAAGUUUUUUGCAAGAAAUUCUAAUCAGGUUCCGCAUGAGCAAUGCUAAUCCCGUUAGAUAUUGUCUUGAAGCAUACAAAGGAUAUUGGAGAGAAAAAGGUCGAUGAUACUUUUUUCGAACAAAUUGUGAGAAGUGUGAUGUACUUGAAAACAACUAGGCCAGACAUCCAUAUGUCGUAAGUCUCAUUAGGAAAUUCAUGGAGAAUCCAAAAGAAUUGCAUCUUUUGGCUGCAAAUAGGAUCCUUCGGUACUUAAAAUGUAUCAUAGAUUUUUGUUCUAUAAAAAGGGUGAUAUGGCAGAUUUGAUUGCGUUAUGUAAUAGUGAUUAUGCUGGAGAUAUAGAUGAUCACAAGAGUACAUUGGGUUAUGCAUUAUACUAAGUUAAGUAUAGUCUCAUGGUCAUCAAAGAAGCACCCAAUCGCCACUUUGUCAACAACUGAAGCUGAAUUUGUUGUUGCAAUUGUAUGUGUGUCACAAGCUAUUUGGCUGAGAAAUAUCACUGAAGAUGGAGUAAUUGAUCUUA